Molecule: ribosomal RNA, 121 nt
Filed under: Shigella flexneri
Lineage: Bacteria; Pseudomonadati; Pseudomonadota; Gammaproteobacteria; Enterobacterales; Enterobacteriaceae
Description: partial 16S ribosomal RNA
Rfam family: Bacterial small subunit ribosomal RNA
Source: RNAcentral
UUAAAUUGAAGAGUUUGAUCAUGGCUCAGAUUGAACGCUGGCGGCAGGCCUAACACAUGCAAGUCGAACGGUAACAGGAAGCGCUUGCUGCUUCGCUGACGAGUGGCGGACGGGUGAGUAA